Molecule: ribosomal RNA, 795 nt
Filed under: Triticum aestivum (bread wheat)
Lineage: Eukaryota; Viridiplantae; Streptophyta; Magnoliopsida; Poales; Poaceae
Description: partial small subunit ribosomal RNA
Source: RNAcentral
AUGACUACCUGCUUCUCAGACCUUAUUAAAGAUCAUUCCCUGGAUUUUAUAGGACUUCAGGAAACUAUGAAAAAGAAAGUUUCUCCUAAGUUCAUUAGGAAGAUAGACCCCUUUGAUAGGUUUAACUGGAACUGGCUUCCUUCCAUUGGUAAGUCGGGUGGUAUCCUAUGUGGAGUUAAAAAAGAAACCCUUGAGAUUAUCUCUUGGGUAGCUGGGAGCUUCCUUCUGCAGGCUAAAAUUUAUGAUAUAAAGUGUAAAUGUGUAUGGGCCCUCAUAGUGGUAUAUGGAGAGGCUUAAGAUGAGAGGAAAUAUGAAUUUCUGGCAGAGCUUAUAUCUGUCUGCUCCCAACUCCAUGUCCCCUAUAUAGUGGGCGGAGACUUUCAUAUCUUGCGUGAUAAUGGAGAGAAAAACAAAAAUAUGGUGCAAUCACAUUUUUUUGACAAGUUUAACUAUGUUAUCCAGACUCUAAAAUUAAGAGAGAUUCAUAUGGGAGGGGACAAAUAUACUUGGACCAAUAAGCAGAAACAUCCCACUUUGGAAAAAUUAGACCAGAUCCUUAUGAGCUUCGAAUGGGAAGAUAUGUUUCCUUUGGUCGUAGUUCGUAAACUGGUGAGGGAUGUCUUAGACCACAACUCACUGCUCCUGACCUUGGGGGAGGAGAAAACAAGCCCUUCCCAUCAACGUGAAUUCAGAUUCGAGCUGAGUUGGCUAAAAAAUGAAGAAUUCUUCAUCAAAGCCAAAACAAUUGGGAGCAACCUGUCUCUGCGACUGAUCCUAUCGAUGUUAUUAAUAUAA